This is a long non-coding RNA of Gopherus evgoodei (Goodes thornscrub tortoise), 441 nucleotides long. RefSeq lists it as uncharacterized. The record is from RefSeq and is a predicted model, not a curated record. The transcript has 3 exons. Lineage: Eukaryota; Metazoa; Chordata; Testudines; Testudinidae.
UAACAGUCGGUCUCCCUGGCUGUUUUCUGAGUGCCCGUGUGGCAAUAAACGUUUCUCUGCUGAAUGCCUCCUCCACAGGACACGGAGCACUAAAAAGGGACAACAAAAAAAACAUCGUUCAGUAGACUGGUCAGCCUGUAAUGAAAAGAAGCACGAAUUAUAUAGCAUAAGAACUAAAGCAAUGAAGAUUUGCAGAUUGAUGAACAGAGAGAUACAAGGUCCAAUCCGGUGAGAUGCUGUGAGCUCUUAUAGAAGGUCAACACCUUACAGGAUGAACUCCCAUGUGAGCUGGGGUCACACAUGCAAUUCAUUCACAGUACCAGGAAGAGUAUCCAGAAUAUGUGACUCUAAGACCUAUGCUCUACAUGGGAAAAGAGUUAGAAUCAUAGACUCAUAGGACUGGAAGGGACCUUGAGAGGUCAUCUAGUCCAGUCCCCUGCA